ACCAGUGAGGCUGAGGUUUCUCUUUCUUUCUUCCUUUCUCCAGGUUUUCUUUGGGGCCCUGGAGCAGCAGCAGUGGUUUGCUUUUCACUGAAGACACACACACUGUGAACAUAUGAUGGGAAGAUGUCAGGCGGUAGCAGAAGGAAUGGGGGAGACUUCCUUGGGUUUAUAAAUGACUGCAUUUCCCUUCGGCAUGACAGCUGCAGCUUCACCUCUUCUCGUGUGAACCUGGAGUCAGCCCUGAACUCUGCUCCUGAGUCUUUGGUGCUCUGUAAUUUCCACUUUUUCCUGAUGUAAAAUAGAGGAUGAAGACAGCAAUUGAAACAAUUGCAGUAGAGAAGGUUUUCAACCUUUGCCUCUGCUUG
RNAcentral lists this long non-coding RNA (365 nucleotides) under Zonotrichia albicollis (white-throated sparrow). Its description in RNAcentral is "lncRNA (ENSZALG00000005691.1)". Lineage: Eukaryota; Metazoa; Chordata; Aves; Passeriformes; Passerellidae. The record is from RNAcentral.